GGCAGUUGUCAGGUGACACAACCCAGAAUCAGGCUCCCUCCUCUCUGGUUCCGGGAUGCGUGACCUGAGAAUCGCC
Molecule: non-coding RNA, 76 nt
Organism: Myotis lucifugus (little brown bat)
Lineage: Eukaryota; Metazoa; Chordata; Mammalia; Chiroptera; Vespertilionidae
Source: Rfam